AGAAAGCUGCUUGUUCGUAAAAUGCAUCCCUGCCAAAUUGAGCCGCUCUUAGACAGACCCGCCCUGAAAGGGGCCUUCAGAUCUUCCACUCGAACUUCUUAACCUAAGGGGAAACAGAGAGUACUUAAGGCCCACGCUGGCCUGGAAAUCUCAUUUGCCCCUCCUUUUAAGAACUCCAAGACUCUCGCGCUCAUUCUGGCCAAGGAGACGGAGAAGUUAAUGACUUGAACCUGAAGGCUGGAGGGUUCUCAGCACUUUCUGAGGCUCCGUGGCUUCUCCUCUUCUGACUGGACGCUUGCUUUCCUCCAUCAUGUGCUAAUGCUGCUCGGUUUUGAGGAGCUACACAGGCUCUCAGGACGAGGCUGGGCCCCCUGGUGCAGAGCCUGCCUCUGGCCGUGACCCACCUGUCCUCCCGCCUGGAUCCCGGAUGUCCCGCUCGGGGGAAGGGGGGGAAGCUCUGUCCCCCGAGUGGGCGGGAGGCAGCCAGCGGGCCUGAAGCAGCGCAGCUGGGACUCGUUCGGGCCCAGCGCAGAGUGGAACCUCGUUCUCUGUCAAGUGCCGGCCAACUCCAUCUGCCCCACACCUUCUUCACACGAAAUGUUCUUCCUGGCUUCUUUGGAAAGUAACUUUACCCGAGCCCGUCCAAGCUGAGGCAAGGAGUUGAAAUUUUCACAGAGGCCCCCUGGGAAGCAGGAACAAAAAUUAAACAGCUCAAGAGAGGAUCCUUUUUACCCAUUCCAGCCCUGAUUGCCUGGCCUCCAGCUGGAAUGUGGAGCAUGUAUCUCAGAGCACACGCUGAAACAGCCAGAAUUUAUCAGUGGACCCAUAUUAACCCACUGGUUCCAGGAGGUGGGAUUUCCUGAACCCAAAGCACUAAUUUUCGCACAUUUUUUUGGACUUUCUUUUCUGACUUUUAGGGAAGAAGGGAGCGUGUGUGGGCAAACAGGCCGAUUCGAGCCGCAGAAGGUUGUUUCUCGUUUCGCUUCACACGGCCAACAGAGGAGCCCAGAGAGAAAGGAAAAUAUGUUCUGGAAGGCCAUUUGUUUAUUGUUCCUCGCAGGUAUGCUGAGGUCUCCGUGUUCCUGCCCCACGCUGUACCUUUAGCCUGUAGCCUUUGGAAAAUAAGACCUGAAAUAACAUUGAUCCUCAUCAUCCAUCCCUGCACCGAUUGAAUAGGUGUGGGAAUGUUGGACCACAGAAGCAAAAUCCCCCCUCUCAGGAGGGGUGCUGGCAGUCUCCGAGCCAAGUGCCCCCCUUCAACUGGACCCCCAAGGAAGAGUCACGAGAGGCAGUGGUGCCUGGGCUGGUGGUGGGGUGCCAGAAAAAAAUGGAAAAUGGUAGGCAGCUUCUCGCAGGCGCUCACAAUUGGCUUAAUGCUUCUCCCAUCCCCUCUUCACAACUGCUCGGAGCUCACCCCCAGGAGCCUGCCGGGAGUGAGACCGUCAGCGGAAGCUAAACUUCAGUGAGGUAACGAGGUGGAAGGCAAUCCCCACUCUGACCGGUUCAUCGGCUUCCCCCCGGGCUGAACAGUUGCAGCCCCUGUAGUUUGCGUGGCCGCGGGGAGCACCUGAGUAAGGACUCCUCAUCCAGUGCCAGGCACCACCUCAUCCGGUUCGUGGGAGCUCCUGCUGCCUGCUGAAGCUCUUCUGCAUCUCAUGCUAAUGCAGAAACUUCCCCGCAAAGAUCACCAUUGGCUACCCAGGAUGGUGAUGAAUUCCAAAGAUGAAAUCACUGUGUUAAACAUGGCCCGUUGCGUUUAAAAUGAAAGAGCCAAGAAGAAACCACCACUGGCUGAUGGCCUACCCAUCCUUUCUCCUAGAGUGCAAGGUGAUUCAGCUUCUCGUUUCCCACCUGCCGCCCUGCAGGACAUCGAAGAAGAGUCACUGAGUGAGAUCACCCUCAGGAAGCCUGUCCACACAGAAGCCCCGACCGGGGGCCUGGGGCCAUUAGAACUCCAGAGCGAAGUGAGGAAAACCCUGCUGCAGCAGGAGGGCGCCAGUCUCUCUCCCACCCCUCGGGAAGCAGCAGAUUUCAGUCCAUGGGGACGAGGAGGUUGGAGCCUCCCUUGCCCCAUCCAGCUCCUAGAGGGGAGUUUCCUGACAGCUCUCUGAGGCUCUGGAGCCCUGCACAGAGUCCCACCUGGAACGGAAGGGUCCACCUGCAUGGCCCUGGAGGACAGCUGGCCCAUUUCUCUCCCCCCGACACUGGCUGGGGUCCUACUGAAGGUGAAAUUAAAACUGUCAGCGAUGCAGCUUUCAAUUUCAAAGAUGUGUUUGGAGUUGUGUGAAUGAGGGCAGUGUUGGACAUGGGCUGAGAAGCAUAAUGCCGUGUCAUCAGCGGAGUUCCUAUGCAGGCGAUGGUCCCCCAGUUCCUGCUGGGGGAGUCCUGGCCCCAGGCCCCGGGAACCUGAAUGCUGAGGUUGCGCAAGCACCAGUGGGUUCCCCGUCUUCUCUAGUGAACUCUUCCCAGCGGGUGGUCUGGCUGGCGCGGGCAAAGGCUUUCAAUGUGGCAGCUUCCCUCUGUCAUUGAAGCCUCCUGUGGCAGGAUGAUGUUGGCACACAUUCUCUUAUGCCGUGCAGCCUCAUAAAGGGCAGGGACUGGGUUCAUCAAGCCCAUUUUACCGGGGUGACCGAAGCGGAGGUGCAGGGAGGUUAAGGAACUUGUUCAAACUCAAUGGCUGAAGUGGCAGGGCUGGGGUUGCCGUCGGAGAGGCUCCAGAGCCUGCGUUCCUCUUGCCAUGAGACUGGUCCGCCCUCCCUAUGUUGUUGCGUUUGUGGCGCCUGCAGCCCCUCCAGCUAUCCUAGCUUUCAACGGAAGUGGCAAUGGGGAGUCGGGAACAGGUGGGCAAACUGAGGCACUUUGUGAUCCUCGAGUCCAGCCGUGGGUCAGAGAUUAUGAGGACGGGUAGCUGCUCUCCUCUGGUUGUGCGGAAGCAGCACGGUGCGGUGGCAGAGGCAGAGUCAAAUCCAACCUCUACCAUUUCCCAGCAACAGGACGAUGGGCCGGAACUUGGCUUCCAAGUUACUCUUCUGUACCGUGGGGGUAACGAGCCCCUCACGGGGCUGCUUCCCAGGCUCGGAUGAAAUCACCUGGUACAAGACUCAGCAUGUGAUUACUUUCCCAAGUGCCUACUAAUGGAAGAGACGAUAAUGGGCUUUGGUCUUGAUUACUCAGCAAAGACACAGACAACCUCAUGUGGGUCUAGUCUUGCACUCUAUCUACUAUGACUAGGUCUUCCAUCUCUGCUGAACCCCUGAAAUUUUCCAUGCCUUAGUCUUUUAUCUACAAUAUGCCCAAUCAGUCUGCCAGGGCUUUUCAAGGAAAGUGUUGCUAUAUUUUAAUGUUGCUCUAAAAAUUAUAUAGUUGGUUUUCUAGUAGCAAUUUCAUGAUUGUUGUAAGGUGCCUAGAAGUCAUGCAUACUUUGAUAAAGAGUUUGUUUUAAUGGAAUAAAAAUUGAUGGAUCUCAAAGCCAAAAAA
Long non-coding RNA from Mirounga angustirostris (Northern elephant seal), 3477 nucleotides. RefSeq lists it as uncharacterized. The record is from RefSeq and is a predicted model, not a curated record. The transcript has 3 exons. Lineage: Eukaryota; Metazoa; Chordata; Mammalia; Carnivora; Phocidae.